RNAcentral lists this long non-coding RNA (678 nucleotides) under Glycine max (soybean). RNAcentral describes it as "long non-coding RNA (GMAX_LNC002316)". The record is from RNAcentral. Lineage: Eukaryota; Viridiplantae; Streptophyta; Magnoliopsida; Fabales; Fabaceae.
CCUUUUUUUUUACCUCCCUUUUACAUUUCCAUCACAUAAUAAUUUAUCUUCUUUUUUAUUUCUCUGUCUCCGUUUCUCGGAUCUACGUUCACCCUGUUACGGUGUGAAAACAUAUAUUUCCAUUAACAUCAUGGUAAAGUAUUUAUCUUCUAAAUCUAAUCCACUUUUGCAUGUCACCGUUAAAAUAUCAUGAUUAUUAUUUGAUUGUUACGUAUAUAUUCUUGAUUUGACAACAAAAUUCAUGUUAUAAACAUUCUUUAAUCUCUACUGGAGUAUAAUAUAUUUUGUUAAGCUUUUCGUGUACAAUUUUUAUUUAUUGGAUUUCGUUUAUGGUUCAGAUAUGGACUGACAGACCCAUACACGUCUUUUUGUAGGAUCUAAGCAGAAAGUUUGAAAACAUAAAAAGCCAUGAACGGAACGAAGCACUUCACAAAUAUAGAAUAAGAGGAAACUUUUCAUAUAUUUCAUCAGUGUUUAACUAGUGUUUAAAUUGUAUUUUCUUUAUUUAUUUUUAUUGUACGUGUUCUUAUUGUGUUGAACAAUUGUAAGGCACUUGUCCAUCCAAGUACUUCCAGUUGCCUGCAUGCAAUGUAAUUUUCAAAGUUGUGUCUGUUCGCAUAUCAUGCUGACAAGGCAACAUAUUUAAAAUAACAGAUUCGCUAAAUAGGAAGAAUAACU